CUUUAAGAGAUGUACAUAACAGCACAAAAAAAAAAAAAAUAACAGAAAAUGGGGAAGUGAAAGCAAAGCCAAAUAAAAUGAAGCCAGGGAUUGGUCCACAAAUUGCAAAACAAAAGGGCCUGUUCAGGUUUUAGAAUUGGACAUUAAAUCCCUGAGGCUCCUGAUGGACAAAAUUUAAUCCAUUUUAAUUUCACAGUCCCUAAGAGGGAAUUAAAAUCAAUUACAAAUGUCUCAUUUCCAUAAAUUAGUUGGUCGAGAAAGGUCCCUGGAGAUGACACCUGUGCUUCUCCAGGACACACCAACCGGGUUUAGCGUGAGCUCCUGCCCCUACUACUGAUGCUGGCGCUCCAGCCUAGCUGGCCUUACCUCUCCAUCUAUUUCUGGGAAACUUCAGGAACAGGGUUGGGUUGGCGACCUCAUACGUGGUCAUGAACAAGCCCUUUCCUCUCAAGUGCUGUCCACAGAGGGAUUCUCUCCUGCCUUGCCCCCUGGGUGAAGUCUGCAGUGGAGGGUUUCAAAGUGUCUCACCACCACUUCCUGCUGGUCCCCAGUGCCUAUAAAUAUGCGGAAGCUUCUCUGUGGUCCACGAAUCCCCCCAAAGCACUGAAGCCAAGUGUGUUCUAUGUGGAAGGAGAAGACUCCUUUCUCCUUUGUGCCACAUUUGUCACCUGCCACCAAGUUAGGGCUCCCUGAGCCCCAGUGACUCGAGAUUCUAGUAGUCACAACUCUGCCAGCCUGGGCCUGUGGCUCCUCUCCUGCUUGGGCUCAGAUACAUCUGUCAUGCUGCUCCAGGACCAGCUUAGAGACUGAUUCUUGUUUUCCUGAUCCCCCUUCCCGUGGCCCUCGCCCUCUAGGGGGCACAAUUUUUAUGGGAUAUUUUUCUACAAUGAAAAUGUAAAAAAAAAAAAAAAAGUGACUUUAGAAAUAAGUAUCAUGUAAUAGCAGGCAUGAUCAGAAGCAUCUUUACACACAAAAAGAAUCACCAACAGCGCCCUCAUUAGAAAAUCAAUGUCUAUGUGACUCCCUAGUCGACUAUAGCAUGUUUAGGUAAAAUUAUCUAAUUGUAUUCUUCUUUUUACUCUUCUAAUGCUCUUGACUUAACCAAGUGGCUCUUAAAACAAAGAAGCUCUCAGCUUUGAGAAGUGGGGGAACCAAACACACACUGAAAAGAACUGGGACCUCUCAAACUCUCUGUCUCUUCCUCCAAGCAGCAUAAAAUGGGGUUACUGGGGUGCAGGCUCCUGUAGGGUUCCUAACAGAGACUAGGUGAGAGAUGCGGCACACGGAGGUGAGGAGAAAGGUCACCCACUCAGCUGCAGCAUGGGGUGGGGGAAGCAACAAUAAGGUAAGGAAGGAACCUGCCUUUGCCCCCCGAAAACAUGCAUUUAUUUGGAGGUAAGUGCAGGCUUGCUGAAAGUCAGAGGGAGGGCAAAAUGAUGCUAAAGACAUGCUAGCAGUAAUAGUGAUGCUGGGAGUGUGAAGAAACAGCCAGGAGCUGUGGGGGAAAAGGAUCCAGUGUCUACCAUCCCAGGCCUCCAGGCCCAUUUCAACUCCCUCCUCUCCUGUAAAGCCUUCCCUGCACUCCCACUGCAUGGAACACUAACCCCUUGUAGCAGAUUGGGGCAGGGGCUUGAGAUUGGUGUUUGCUAUUAACAGGUGGGGGAGCUGAGCAAUGCCCAAAUGGAGGAUGGGAUCAAAACUGAGGUUAAGGGGAGCUUUGGGAGGCUGAGGUGGGAGGAUCGCUUGAGGCCAGGAGUUCAAGACCAGCCUGGGCAACACAAGACCCCCAUCUCCCCCCCAAAAAAAAUGGGGUAAGGGAAUAUUUUGAAUGAUUAAUUUUGACUUUAGAUAUUGACUUCAUUCAGAAAGAGACCUCUCAGGCAGCUGGGUAACUCCAGCCCAACUGGAAAUGCUCUUAGAAGGGAGAAAGUAUUGGCAGAACUGAGUCCAAGAUGAGUCCAAUGGGCAGGUCUCUCCAGGCACGUGCAGGGGAGGCUUGGAUGGGAGUCACUGAGUGUGUACAUCAAUGCACGUGCUGAAUGGGCAGGCCAAGAGCCCCAUGAUGGGUGAUGGUAGACACCGGGGCUUUGAGAUGCCCAGGAGUCACCCAAGCACAGCUGGUUGGCAGGCAGCUGGGAUCCUAAGAGGAGAGGCCACAGCAGGACACAGAUCUGGAAGUCAUUAGCAUCUACACAGAAGAAAAGAGAGAAAGAAAGGAAAAGAAAAAAAGAAGAGAAAGGGAAACAGAGUGAAUGAAGAAGCAAGCCUAGGACAGAACUCUGGAGUACAAAGACCCAGAACAGCCUGGGUGAGGCAAGUUCACCUGCAACACCCACACCCACUCCAGACAUCACUGCCUUCAUUACUUCAAAACUGCACCCCUGUCCCCAAAGGGUGUUACUCCCCUACAGAAAGUGACUCAAUUCUUUUCUGCAGCCCGAAAGCAGAGAGCUAUCCCCACUGGGGGCCCCAGAACAAGAUGAGGCAGGACGGACUACCCAGAGCGCCUGACUACAUUAUUUAGCAUGGAGGGACCCUAGCUGCUUUACUCGGCUUCUGGGAGGAGGCUACAGUGGACAAUAAGGCCAAGGCAGCCAUGACCAUGAGUUCAGCUGCUGAGGUCAAGGCCUUAGAAAAAACCGAGUAUCUGAAAAAGUCUUGGCCCCUCCUUUCCCUGCCCCUACCUUUGGGUCUGCUGCCUCUGGGGGUCUGAGGAAUGGGAGGCCUAAGGUCCUUUAGGUACCUUUUUGUCCCUUCAGAGGAGCCAAUGCCCUUCUUGAGGUGGAGGGUGAAGAAAUCAAGGGGAGGCAGCCAUCUGGGGAGACGAUCCUGCCUUUAGCAGCUCACAUGAUGUAACACCCUCCCAGGGCAGCAUUUGCUGGUUUGGUUUUCCAUAACCAGGGUCUGACCUGUGGCCAGGAAGGCUGAGAAACUGUCCACCCAUUCUGCAGAGUGAAUCUACUUCCCAAGAGCAGAAUCACGCUAGCAAAGCUCAGGGUGUGUAAAACCAGAUGUCAGUUUAUCUGAGCAGCACAGACCUACUGGAGGGCGCCUGGGUGCCCAGCAAGCUCUUGGGUAGACAGCAAGCCUGGAACACUGAAGCCCCCUGAAAGAGUGCUUCUUCCAAAGGAAGUCAGGUAGACAAGGAGGAAGGGACCACCUGGGCCAUUUUCUCACCUGGCCCACACUGGCCUUGCUUUCAUGACUGAACCUCUAUUAAGAUUCAUGAGACAAGAAUGGCAGAUAAUAAACAUCAAAACUGUUCACUAAAGAUAUGAGACACUAACACACUACCAAACCCAGGGGAAAGGGUGACCAAGUGGAGAGAGGACUACCACCUCACAUCCACACAGAGCUCAGCUUGACUUCCACAGUGAGGGGUCCAGAACAUGAUGGUAGUGGGUGGGAGUGGGGAAUGGUCUAGAUCUCCUUUGAGGGCCAUCUUCCUCUCCAUUCAGCACUAUCAAGUAGCUCUGUCCUAGGCCCAAUAUUUGAAACUGAAAUUCUUCCUUUCUCAUUAGUUUAACUACUUCGCAUACACAGAUCUCUAGUCCUAGCCUCUCCCCUAGCUGCUAGCCGACAUCCAAAUGCAUAGCAUCACCAUGAUUUCCCUUAAGCACCUCAAGUUCUAGACAUACCAAACUAAACUUCUCAUCUUCUGCCCUCCUGCUCUAUCAGCCUCUCCUCCUUGUGCUCCCAAUUCUGAAUGAGGACAUGCUCUACCCAGUCACCAAAGGCAUUCUAGCUUUCCUCUGAUGUCCUCCCCUCUGCCUCUGAGACCUUUCCCAUUCAUUCCCUCCUCCUCAGUGUCACCACUGCUCUAGUUCAGACCCUAGCCUUUAGCUGAAAUACCACAACAGUGUCCCAAAAGGCCAUCCUAAUUGCAGCAUGUCCAAGUUCCAUUCAGCUGUCAGAUUUCAACCAUGCACAUCUGAACAUUGCCCCGGGCCUGGUGUUGACACUCCAUUCACAUGUGAGGUCCUCAGUGACCUUGCUCCAGCACUCCUCUAAUAUCAGCUCCCUGUUCCCAACCUCCCAUCAUACAACCCCACCCUGAAUCCAUGCUAUUCCACACAACAGUGCCUUUCCCUGGAAUUCCCUCCCUCUCCCUCACCUCAGGAUCCUUCCUCUCAGCUCACAUUACUAGACAAUAUCACUGUAUUACUGCAGUUACUGACAUCUGCUGACUUCUAUCCAGGGUUCAUCCCAUGACCCCUGCCCCGCAGAGAUAACGUGGGCCAGAAAAGGUAAACUGGGAGGGAGUUGACGGUGAUCCUAGUGGGGCUGGUUCUUGGGAAAGGAGGUUCUGAAGCAGGGGAAGGGGUUAAGAAGGGAUAUCACUCUGUGGGAGUAGCAAAUCUCUCCACUGGCUUCCUCACAUGUUAAUAAAAGUUCCAUUCUUCAAGGCGCUGUGGUGCCACCUCGGCAUUUAGGUGAU
RNAcentral lists this long non-coding RNA (4438 nucleotides) under Homo sapiens (human). RNAcentral's name for it is "HSALNT0004581". Lineage: Eukaryota; Metazoa; Chordata; Mammalia; Primates; Hominidae. The record is from RNAcentral.